Molecule: ribosomal RNA, 430 nt
Filed under: uncultured bacterium
Lineage: Bacteria
Description: partial 16S ribosomal RNA
Rfam family: Bacterial small subunit ribosomal RNA
Source: RNAcentral
AACGAACGCUGGCGGCAGGCCUAACACAUGCAAGUCGAACGCCCCGCAAGGGGAGUGGCCGACGGGUGAGUAACACGUGGGAACCUUCCCUAUAGUACGUAAUAGCCCAGGGAAACUUGGAGUAAUACCGUAUACGCCCGAAAGGGGAAAGAAUUUCGCUAUAGGAUGGGCCCGCGUAGGAUUAGCUAGUUGGUGAGGUAAUGGCUCACCAAGGCGACGAUCCUUAGCUGGUUUGAGAGAACGACCAGCCACACUGGGACUGAGACACGGCCCAGACUCCUACGGGAGGCAGCAGUGGGGAAUAUUGGACAAUGGGCGCAAGCCUGAUCCAGCCAUGCCGGGUGAGUGAUGAAGGCCUUAGGGUUGUAAAGCGCUUUUGGCGGGGACGAUAAUGACGGUACCCGCAGAAUAAGUCCCGGCUAACUUCGUG